RNAcentral lists this ribosomal RNA (618 nucleotides) under uncultured bacterium. Its description in RNAcentral is "bacterial SSU rRNA". It matches the Rfam family "Bacterial small subunit ribosomal RNA", at positions 122 to 770 of the family's 1533-position model. The record is from RNAcentral.
GAAUCUGGCUUCAGGUCGGGGAUAACUACUGGAAACGGUGGCUAAUACCGGAUGUGCCGAAAGGUGAAAGGCUAGCUGCCUGAAGAUGAGCUCGCGUCUGAUUAGCUAGUUGGUGUGGUAAGAGCGCACCAAGGCGACGAUCAGUAGCUGGUCUGAGAGGACGAUCAGCCACACUGGGACUGAGACACGGCCCAGACUCCUACGGGAGGCAGCAGUGAGGAAUUUUCUGCAAUGGGCGAAAGCCUGACAGAGCAAUACCGCGUGAGGGAAGAAGGCUUACUGAGUUGUAAACCUCGGUGCCUUAAGGAAGAAGAUCUGACGGUACUUAAGGUGGAAAGCAUCGGCUAACCCCGUGCCAGCAGCCGCGGUAAGACGGGGGAUGCAAGUGUUAUCCGGAAUCACUGGGCGUAAAGCGUCUGCAGGUGGUUUCCUAAGUCCACUGUUAAACCUUGAGGCUCAACCUCAAAUCUGCAGUGGAAACUAGGGAACUUGAGGAUAGUAGGGGUAGAGGGAAUUUCCAGUGGAGCGGUGAAAUGCGUAGAUAUUGGAAAGAACACCGAUGGCGAAGGCACUCUACUGGGCUAUGACUGACACUCAGAGACGAAAGCUAGGGGAGCA